This is a long non-coding RNA of Mytilus californianus (California mussel), 581 nucleotides long. RefSeq lists it as uncharacterized. The record is from RefSeq and is a predicted model, not a curated record. NCBI's taxonomy places the organism in Eukaryota, Metazoa, Mollusca, Bivalvia, Mytilida, Mytilidae. The transcript has 3 exons.
GAGGAUAUAACUUUUGAUUGUAAUUGGUCGAAAGCGAGACUUCCAAUGCGUCUUUGUUCAAACAUUCCUUUCAGGUUGAAUAUAACCAUGCACAUCUUUAAUAACACUUUUAAAGAGAGCCCGAACAUCAGGGUACGCACAAUACAAACAGGACCUGAGGAACUCUACCAGUCGAGGACUUCGUUUGGAAUCCACGAGAUGAUUAAGUGCAGUCAAGAUGGUCACUGUAUGAUAUUUUUAACAGAAAACAAGCCAGAUGAAGAUUCUAACAGCACUAUAGAUAUCAAUAACCUGAUCACAAUCAUUUUUGGGGCAAUAUCAAGCUUAAUGAUACCGGUGCUGCUGUUACUGGCUAGAAAUCAUAUCCUGGAUAGAAGGAAAGACACAACAGAUGGCAGAAAACCAGAUGAUGGCCCAGAGGACUUGGAUAAAAAAUCAAAUGUCGAUGAAGAAAUCAUUCCAUCUUUAUAAGAAACAGUUCUUCUAUGGAAGUCUCUCCUAUUGUUAAAAGAGCAUUCACGCAACAUUGGAGUAUUUUGCAUGAAUGAGAAUUAAUUGAACAAAACGGCAAAACGAAAUAU